RNAcentral lists this ribosomal RNA (433 nucleotides) under uncultured bacterium. Its description in RNAcentral is "partial 16S ribosomal RNA". It matches the Rfam family "Bacterial small subunit ribosomal RNA", at positions 29 to 507 of the family's 1533-position model. The record is from RNAcentral.
AACGAACGCUGGCGGCAUGCCUAACACAUGCAAGUCAAACGAGACCUUCGGGUCUAGUGGCGCACGGGUGCGUAACGCGUGGGAACCUGCCCUUAGGUUCGGAAUAACUCCCCGAAAGGGGUGCUAAUACCGGAUAAUGUCUUCGGACCAAAGAUUUAUCGCCUUUGGAUGGGCCCGCGUUGGAUUAGCUAGUUGGUAGGGUAAAAGCCUACCAAGGCGACGAUCCAUAGCUGGUCUGAGAGGAUGAUCAGCCACACUGGGACUGAGACACGGCCCAGACUCCUACGGGAGGCAGCAGUGGGGAAUAUUGGACAAUGGGCGAAAGCCUGAUCCAGCGAUGCCGCGUGAGUGAUGAAGGCCUUAGGGUUGUAAAGCUCUUUUACCCGGGAUGAUAAUGACAGUACCGGGAGAAUAAGCUCCGGCUAACUCCGUG